AGAAUCAACGCUGGCGGCGUGCCUAACACAUGCAAGUCGCACGAGAAAGGGACUUCGGUCCUGAGUAAAGUGGCGCACGGGUGAGUAACACGUGAAUAAUCUACCUCCGAGUGGGGAAUAACUGAGAGAAAUCUUAGCUAAUACCGCAUAACACUUACGAGUCAAAGCAGCAAUGCGCUUGGAGAGGAGUUCGCGGCAGAUUAGUUAGUUGGCGGGGUAAUGGCCCACCAAGACGAUGAUCUGUAUCCGGCCUGAGAGGGCGCACGGACACACUGGAACUGAAACACGGUCCAGACUCCUACGGAGGCAGCAGUGGGGAAUUUUGCGCAAUGGGGGAAACCCUGACGCAGCAACGCCGCGUGGAGGAUGAAAUCCCUUGGGAUGGUAAACUCCUUUCGAUAGGGAAGAUAAUGACGGUACCUAUAGAAGAAGCCCGGCUAACUUCGCGCCAGCAGCCGC
Molecule: ribosomal RNA, 459 nt
Filed under: uncultured bacterium
Lineage: Bacteria
Description: SSU rRNA
Rfam family: Bacterial small subunit ribosomal RNA
Source: RNAcentral